Girardinichthys multiradiatus is the source of this 1279-nucleotide long non-coding RNA. RefSeq lists it as uncharacterized. The transcript has 3 exons. The record is from RefSeq and is a predicted model, not a curated record. NCBI's taxonomy places the organism in Eukaryota, Metazoa, Chordata, Actinopteri, Cyprinodontiformes, Goodeidae.
UGUUAAUUAUUUUGUUUUGGUGUUUCUUCUAUUCCCUCUAAUUUCUCAGUUUGUUUUAGUUAAUGAUUAUUCUAGGUUCUUAUGUUUCUUUUGAUUUAUUUUCUUUGUCCAUAGUUUUGCCUUUAUUGUCUAGCUUCCCUCAUGUUUUCCCCUAUGGAUUUAUGUUAUGGUAGCUCUCGUGUUUCGUUUUGUUUCUAGCCUUAUCAUCUUAGCAACUAUUCACUUUCCCUCAGUUCUCUACAGCCUGGUCCACACCUGAAUUUCAUCUCUCCUGAUUUCCUAUCUCUCAUUCUCAUUGGUCCAUACUCCACUUCCCUCUGUUCAUAAGCUCUCUGUUCUUGUUUGUUCCUCGCUGGUUCCUUCUGUUCGAAUCCCCGUUCAUAUCUCCGUUCACCUACCUUCAUCUAUGUACUCUGCCUACUAUGUUCCUGCAGUAUUAACUUUGUAAGUUUUUGGAUUUCUUGUAUCUGCAGUGAUUUUGCUACGUUUGGAAAAACUUUUUGAACUUAUCUUUGAAUAAAAGAAAAAGUCUCCUUUUAAACAUGCAGCUGCCAAGCUGCCUGUUCUUUGGUCACUCUAAACCUCAGAAUGCGACAAAAAGAGGUGGAUGCAGACUUCCUUCUACAGGCUCUGUCUCCUCAGUUCACUGAAAAGGAUCAAUAAGACACCGGAAGGAAGUAAACAUUAUCAACUUUUUGCAGGACUUCUUGCAAAACCUGGAAGGCCAAGAAAGACAAUCAAGAUGGGAGCCCAUCUAAUGGUUGUGGAGCAAAGCAGUUGUCAGUGCAAAGUUUCUUCCAGUGGGUUUCAGGCCAGGCACAUGUGCCACUAACAGACGCCAAACGAGAUUCAUAUCGGAUAACUGUGAAUUUUGAUCACGACCGUACCUCCCGGUAUGGGUCACAAACUUUGUGCUUUCCCAUUGUCAAUGCAUGGGCUUUGGCAAUCACCUUUCCUACACAUCACUUGACAACAUAUGAUGAUUUUGAAAAUAUUCUUACACAGGCAGUCUGUGGUGGAUUUGAUUUUAGCAGACACUAAGUACUAACAGGACCAAAACUGGGGGCUGUUCCUAGUUUUUGAUUAUUUUCAAUAGUUUUAAAUCUCACUUUAGUUUUAAAUAGACAGUUUGUCUUGUGAAAUUUGUAAUGUUUUGGGGCUAGGCUGCCAAAUUUGUAUAUGAAACAAUAAAAAUCUAGUUUAUUGCUAUUUGUAAAACAUUUACAUAUAUGUGUGUUUUAUAAAAAAAAUAAUAACAAUAAUAAAACACUGGAAAUCA